This 253-nucleotide ribosomal RNA is filed under the name uncultured bacterium. RNAcentral's name for it is "partial 16S ribosomal RNA". It matches the Rfam family "Bacterial small subunit ribosomal RNA", at positions 524 to 776 of the family's 1533-position model. The record is from RNAcentral.
UACGUAGGGUGCAAGCGUUGUCCGGAAUUAUUGGGCGUAAAGAGCUCGUAGGCGGUCUGUUGCGUCGGCUGUGAAAACCCGGGGCUCAACUCCGGGCCUGCAGCCGAUACGGGCAGACUAGAGUUCGGCAGGGGAGACUGGAAUUCCUGGUGUAGCGGUGAAAUGCGCAGAUAUCAGGAGGAACACCGGUGGCGAAGGCGGGUCUCUGGACAGUUCCUGACGCUGAGGCACGAAGGUCAGGGGAGCAAACGGG